GCCAGGUGUGGUGGCACAUACCUUUAAUCCCAGCUACCCAGGAGGUUAAAACCAGGGGAUUUCUUACAUUCAGGAGUUCGAAGUGGGCUAUGCCAAUUGGAUGCCUGCACAGAAUCAAGCACAAGCAUGGUGAAUCACCAGGACAUCAAGUUACUUAAAGAGGGUCAAUGAGCUCAGAUUGAAAUGGAGCAGGUCAAAACUCCCUUGCUGAUCAGUAGUGGGACUGACCCUCUGAGUGACCUCUGUACUUGUAGCCUGGCCAAGAUAGGGAGAUCCAGUCUUU
This 283-nucleotide non-coding RNA is filed under the name Phascolarctos cinereus (koala). The record is from RNAcentral. Lineage: Eukaryota; Metazoa; Chordata; Mammalia; Diprotodontia; Phascolarctidae.